CACCAGACUCCUACGGGAGGCAGCAGUGAGGAAUAUUGGUCAAUGGUCGGGAGACUGAACCAGCCAAGCCGCGUGAGGGAUGAAGGUACAGAGUAUCGUAAACCUCUUUUGUCAGGGAACAAAGGCGGGGACGUGUCCCCGGAUGAGUGUACCUGAAGAAAAAGCAUCGGCUAACUCCGUGCCAGCAGCCGCGGUAAUACGGAGGAUGCGAGCGUUAUCCGGAUUUAUUGGGUUUAAAGGGUGCGCAGGCGGAGAGUAAAGACGGGGGUAAAAUUGCGGGGCACACCCCCGACAAGCCGUUGAAACUGGCUUGCUAGAGUGGGCGAGAAGUAUGCGGAAUGCGUGGUGUAGCGGUGAAAUGCAUAGAUAUCACGCAGAACUCCGAUUGCGAAGGCAGCAUACCGGCGCCCAACUGACGCUCAGGCACGAAAGCGUGGGUAUCGAACAGGAUUAGAUACCCUUGUA
This 465-nucleotide ribosomal RNA is filed under the name uncultured bacterium. Its description in RNAcentral is "bacterial SSU rRNA". It matches the Rfam family "Bacterial small subunit ribosomal RNA", at positions 329 to 792 of the family's 1533-position model. The record is from RNAcentral.